This 495-nucleotide ribosomal RNA is filed under the name uncultured bacterium. RNAcentral describes it as "partial 16S ribosomal RNA". It matches the Rfam family "Bacterial small subunit ribosomal RNA", at positions 28 to 507 of the family's 1533-position model. The record is from RNAcentral.
GACGAACGCUGGCGGCGUGCCUAAUACAUGCAAGUAGAACGCUGAAGGAGGAGCUUGCUUCUCCGGAUGAGUUGCGAACGGGUGAGUAACGCGUAGGUAACCUGCCUGGUAGCGGGGGAUAACUAUUGGAAACGAUAGCUAAUACCGCAUAAGAGUAGAUGUUGCAUGACAUUUGCUUAAAAGGUGCAAUUGCAUCACUACCAGAUGGACCUGCGUUGUAUUAGCUAGUUGGUGGGGUAACGGCUCACCAAGGCGACGAUACAUAGCCGACCUGAGAGGGUGAUCGGCCCCACUGGGACUGAGACACGGCCCAGACUCCUACGGGAGGCAGCAGUAGGGAAUCUUCGGCAAGGGACGGAAGUCUGACCGAGCAACGCCGCGUGAGUGAAGAAGGUUUUCGGAUCGUAAAGCUCUGUUGUAAGAGAAGAACGAGUGUGAGAGUGGAAAGUUCACACUGUGACGGUAUCUUACCAGAAAGGGACGGCUAACUACGUG